UCCGAUGAUGGCAUGAAAUCUUUGAGACCUGAUUGUCUAAUUUGAUGACAAGUAUAAGCAUAACUUCUGAGGAC
Small nucleolar RNA from Corylus avellana, 74 nucleotides. RefSeq annotates it as small nucleolar RNA R66. NCBI's taxonomy places the organism in Eukaryota, Viridiplantae, Streptophyta, Magnoliopsida, Fagales, Betulaceae. The record is from RefSeq and is a predicted model, not a curated record.